ACUGGGCGUAAAGCGUCUGUAGGCGGAUGUGUAAGUUGGGCGUGAAAGCUCCGGGCUUAACCCGGAGAGGCCGUUCAAUACUGCAUAACUUGAGGGUGUCAGAGGGGAGCGGAAUUCCCUGUGUAGCGGUAAAAUGCGCAGAGAUCGGGAGGAACACCAGUGGCGGAGGCGGUUCCCUGGGGCACACCUGACGCUGAGAGACGAAAGCUAGGGGAGCGAACAGGAUUAGAGACCCUGGUAGUCCUAGCCCUAAACGAUGAAUGCUAGGUGUGGGAUCGAAUGGUUCCGUGCCGGAGCGAACGCGAUAAGCAUUCCGCCUGGGGAGUACGGCCGCAAGGUUAAAACUCAAACGAAUUGACGGGGCCCCGCACAAGCAGCGGAGCGUGUGGUUUAAUUCGAUGCUACACGAAGAACCUUACCUGGGUUUGACAUGUAGGUGGUAGUGAAUCGAAAGGUGAACGACCCUUCGGGGAGCCUACACAGGUGCUGCAUGGCUGUCGUCAGCUCGUGCCGUGAGGUGUCGGGUUAAGUCCCGUAACGAGCGCAACCCUUGCUCCUAGUUGCAAGUGUCUAGGGGGACUGCCGGCGGAAAGCCGGAGGAAGGUGGGGAUGACGUCAAGUCAGCAUGGCCCUUAUAUCCAGGGCUACACACACGCUACAAUGGUCGGUACAAAGGGCAGCGAAACCGCGAGGCGGAGCGAAUCCGAGAAAAGCCGAUCGUAGUUCGGAUAGCAGGCUGCAACCCGCCUGC
This 751-nucleotide ribosomal RNA is filed under the name uncultured organism. Its description in RNAcentral is "bacterial SSU rRNA". It matches the Rfam family "Bacterial small subunit ribosomal RNA", at positions 553 to 1319 of the family's 1533-position model. The record is from RNAcentral.